AUGCUCACUUCGGCAGCACAUAUACUAAAAUUGGAAUGAUACAGAGAAGAUUAGGAUGGCCCCUGCGCAACGAUGACACGCAAAUUUGUGGAGCAUUAAAAAAAAAAU
Small nuclear RNA from Otolemur garnettii (small-eared galago), 108 nucleotides. NCBI's taxonomy places the organism in Eukaryota, Metazoa, Chordata, Mammalia, Primates, Galagidae. The record is from Ensembl.